GACGAACGCUGGCGGCGUGCUUAACACAUGCAAGUCGAACGGAAAGGCCCUGCUUUUGUGGGGUGCUCGAGUGGCGAACGGGUGAGUAACACGUGAGUAACCUGCCCUUGACUUUGGGAUAACUUCAGGAAACUGGGGCUAAUACCGGAUAGGAGCUCCUGCUGCAUGGUGGGGGUUGGAAAGUUUCGGCGGUUGGGGAUGGACUCGCGGCUUAUCAGCUUGUCGGUGGGGUAGUGGCUUACCAAGGCUUUGACGGGUAGCCGGCCUGAGAGGGUGACCGGCCACAUUGGGACUGAGAUACGGCCCAGACUCCUACGGGAGGCAGCAGUGGGGAAUAUUGCACAAUGGGCGGAAGCCUGAUGCAGCAACGCCGCGUGCGGGAUGACGGCCUUCGGGUCGUAAACCGCUUUCGCCUGUGACGAAGCGUGAGUGACGGUAAUGGGUAAAGAAGCACCGGCUAACUACGUG
RNAcentral lists this ribosomal RNA (468 nucleotides) under uncultured bacterium. RNAcentral's name for it is "partial 16S ribosomal RNA". It matches the Rfam family "Bacterial small subunit ribosomal RNA", at positions 28 to 507 of the family's 1533-position model. The record is from RNAcentral.